This 497-nucleotide ribosomal RNA is filed under the name uncultured bacterium. Its description in RNAcentral is "partial 16S ribosomal RNA". It matches the Rfam family "Bacterial small subunit ribosomal RNA", at positions 28 to 507 of the family's 1533-position model. The record is from RNAcentral.
GAUGAACGCUGGCGGCGUGCCUAAUACAUGCAAGUCGAGCGAACAGACGAGGAGCUUGCUCCUCUGACGUUAGCGGCGGACGGGUGAGUAACACGUGGAUAACCUACCUAUAAGACUGGGAUAACUUCGGGAAACCGGAGCUAAUACCGGAUAAUAUAUUGAACCGCAUGGUUCAAUAGUGAAAGACGGUUUUGCUGUCACUUCUAGAUGGAUCCGCGCCGCAUUAGCUAGUUGGUAAGGUAACGGCUUACCAAGGCAACGAUGCGUAGCCGACCUGAGAGGGUGAUCGGCCACACUAGAACUGAGACACGGUCCAGACUCCUGCGGGAGGCAGCAGUAGGGAAUCUUCCGCAGUGGGCGAAAGCCUGACGGAGCAACGCCGCGUGAGUGAUGAAGGUCUUCGGAUCGUAAAACUCUGUUAUUAGGGAAGAACAAAUGUGUAAGUAACUAUGCACGUCUUGACGGUACCUAAUCAGAAAGCCACGGCUAACUACGUG